UAAUUUCAGGCUAAUCUCCAAACUCUCGUUCAUCAAAAUAAUAAUAAUUUUAAAAAAUUCCAAACACGGUGAUUCCGCUACAACAUGCCGGGUGACAGCCGUGCCGUCAACGACCCGUCAGCCGUACCGGUCGAAUCGUCAGCAGCGGAGCACAGCCCCCCCGCCGGUCAGCCAAAUCUGCCUGACUCGACUUCCUUCCCCACCCCGCCCUCCUGAAGUUGUAAACCUAGGGGAAACACUGCAUAGUCUAGCAGCUAGCUUAGCCGUGCAGCUAGCUUGUAAAGUGUUCCGUUUUCCACUCAUUCCCCUUCUGUUUGACACGUGGAGAAAUUCCUCUGCUUGUUUCCCUUCCAAUGCAAAAAGCUAUCUCCAUCUUCAACUACCGCCUCGGACUCUGCGAUCAAAGAUAACUGACUGCAGCUAGCAGCGGUUUAUUUUCCGGUUUCUGGAACAUCUUUGGAGUUGAGGUGGGAUUAGAGUUGUGCAGCGACAAUACGUUGCAGUUUCUUUGACAAGAAGGCAAGAUUGAGAUGGGCCGCAGGGUCCUCAGAAUAGCAGGCUGGUAGUUUGGAGAGCUUCCAGCCUGUUUGCCUGACAACCCCUACAGGUCUGCUAACCAGACGGAAAGAUCCCCGCAGGGUAAACAGGUGGGCUUGUGCUGGCUAGCCAGACCGACCGCUGUGGCCACAACCUGGAAGCACUGGGGCUAGCAGGCUAAAUACUCUUCUAAGUUAAGUUGAAAGCUUGUAUGAGUGUUCUAACGUUUUCCCCUGGUGAAUGCAACCAGAGAGCUAAAAACUACUAAAAGCUUAAAAAAUAAGAGACAGCAACAUCGAGGCUGCCCUCCACGGUCAUCUUAGAUUCGAGAACAGUGCACACUGUACUCACAAAAACAAAAAUCUCAAAAGCACCUUCGUUGUUUGAAAUGUCUACUUCCUGUUACCAGUAGUUGGCGCUAUGACUUUGAUUCCAAUUAACAUGUCUUCAGGCCCAAAUUCUGAAACAUUUGUAAUUGAAAAGGAUCUGAUCAUGUGGAGUAGAGUAAAAACGGAUUGUUCUUGGCAAAGGAUCUUUGCCGAUACUCCCACUCGCCGCCAUUUAUCAGAUUAUUAUAAUAUUCAAAGUGAAGGAUUAUGAAGGUCUGCGAUCAACUUUUGAGAGACAUCAGAUUAACCUGUAAGGAGCAGGGUGUAAAGUAAAAAUCAUUCAACUUGGGUAAGGAAGUCAAGAUAUAUGAGAAAUAUUCAAUUAAUUUUAUUUUGUAUAGCCUAAAAUCGCAAAUGAUAAAUUUCCCUUAAAAGGCCUUACAGUCUGUACACAUGCAACAUCCUCUGUCCUGAAACCCUCACAUCAUCAAGGGAAAAACUCCCCAAAAAAUCCUUCCAUGGGGAAAAAAGGGAAGAAACCUUAGGGAGAACGUCAUAGGAGGGAUCCCUCUCCCGGGAUGGACAGACUGCAAUGGAUGUCAUGUGUACAGAAUACACAAUGUAAAAGAUGUACAAUACAUUGUACAAUGUACAAUACUUAGCAUUGGACGGGUCCUCGCUACUCCUUGCAUGUUGGGGCGCUGGCCGGACGGUUACAAAUGCGGCCGAGGACACCUGCACCCGUCGGAUGAAGCGUUCGCAAGUGUGGAGCAAUGCCAGGAAUGCCGCUUUCCAAACUUUAUCUUUGACAUUAUCAUGGUCUUAGGCCUUUUAUGUCAACAUAUAACCAGGACAUUCUGAUCUACCAUUCCAAAAUUAAAGUCUCUCAAAAUACCAUACAUGAGCUGUAUGCAUUCCUUCAAAAUAUUUCACAGGACUACUUUUGGUCAAUUUCAGGUUAUAAAUAAAAGGUAACUAUAAAUAUAAACAGUAAUUCCACUUCAGGCAGAGAGUAAAGAUCACCAGGGUGUGACUUGGUGAUAACCAAAACAUUCUGAUGUAUCGGUCCAAAAUAAAAGCCUCUCAAAAUACCAUAAAUGAGCCAAUUUCCUUCAAUAUCCCAAUCACAGGAAGAAAUGUUGAUAUCUCAUUUUUCAUUAAAAUUAUGGACCAAUGAAUUUGUAACGGGUGUGUCCUGAAAAUUGAAAGGCCUAAAACUUUUUUUUUUCCAACCUCAAUUUUCACCAAAUCUUUAGGACAUGUUCACAUUGAGUCCUAGAACAUCCCCAAUAUUUUCAGAAUAUUUGAACAUUAGGGGGCGCUAUAGUGAUUCUCUGUAUUUUUUGCAAUUUCCUUCAAUUUUUGCAUUUACAAACGAACAAACUCCUCCGAGAGUUUAAAUCCGAUCUAUUUCAAACUCUGGAAAGUUGAUCCUGACAACCGUGUGGUCAAAAGUUAUUAAAAUCAAGAGUUUUCAUAAAACUACCUGGGAGUGAUCGUGCGUCCAGUUUGGACAAUAUUGGACAAAACUCCAUAUAUAUAUAUAUAACUCCAAGGAACAUUGAUAUUUCUGGCUAGAAAUGUUUAUUCAUGAUGCUUGUGUAGGCCUAUAAGUAAUGCCAUGCAGUGAUUUUCGAAAAAGUAUAGCGCCACCUAUUGGCUUAGGUCAAUGUAAAUUUCUACAGUUAGAUGUCCCUCUCCUCGCCCUUUAAUCUGAUCCACUUCAAAUCUGGGAAUAAGACUAAAGACUGUGAUGAUAGGUUACAGUGAAUAUUGAGAGUUUUGGACCAACUUUGUUGCCGUGACGACGCCAUCUUCGCAUGAAAGUUCAAGCACAUCUUCUGAGCCUCAGCACACUCCAAAACUCUUGAAAACCUCUGUGAGUGUCCUGCGUGAUGACCUUCACAGACAGGAUGUGGAGUUUUGGAUCAAAAGCGAAAAAUUGCCUCCAUAGCACCCCCUGGAAGUUUUCGACGAAGCAGCGCCGGCACCCUGUUUGACCUACAAGUAUGCUAAUUUUAACUUUAAAAAGUCUCUGAGGACUAUGCUCUAAAACAAACACGAAGUCAGUUAUACUUUUUUUAGUGUGAAUAUUCCCUGUAUUUUUUUGCAGAGAGGCUUGAACCCUAUAUAAGGGACGUUUUGAUCCCACAUUUUCAAGUGAGCCCCUAGCCCUAAGCAUUGCUCCAAGUCUUUCCCCUAGGGAUCAUGUGUCGAUUCCCGACAGAAAUGUUUGAAUUUUUUUUCUUUUCCUUUUCCCGCGUGUCCGGCUGAUCUAACGAACAAAGGGAUUCAGUUUACUCUCCUUGGUGAGGUUAUUGACUUAAAUUUGUUCACUUUAGAACAGGGGUCUAAAACUCAUUUCAGGUUAGGGCCAGAUGCCGCUGCUGGGCACAUACGAACAGCACCAACAGCUGACUGAGGGAAGGAGACGCGGGGCGCUGGCGGUAGGCACUCCGCUGGCGGACGGGGCAGCCGGUAAUCGCGAGUUCGACAUAUCUAACGUAGACAAAUAACACGGACAGUUCAAUAUAAUUACAUCAAUGGAUUUAAAUACUCAUAGUCUCGCGUGAGUUUGCCAGUGGAGCCCGUGGCUGUGUUGAACAGCCACAGGUCGUAUCGCUCGUCCGGAUUUUAUUUUUUACACUGCUAACUACACACCUAUGCUUACAUCCACACGGACUCAACCAAGUGGAAACGCUUUGGACGGUGAGUGAUUACUUUUUCUUUGUGCGAUCUCUAGUCUUACCCACUUAUACUGUAAACAUGCUAACAAUGCCUCGUUGCUAACAGCAGUUUGAGGGACAACGCUACUAGUUUGGCUACGGAGUUAAUUGUCAACAUUAAUGUGCCUGUCAUGAUAUGAGGCCAGACGUGAGUCGUGUUCCACAUUCAAGAGGGUUUUUAUUUAGCACAGCCCAGAGCAACCUAAGCUAUACUUGAACAACAACAACAAUAACUAGCAUACGUCAAACUACGGUAGCUUUACACGGACAAAAGACACCUAUUCACGCUAUUAACGCCACUUUGUUUACAUUUCCGUGUGCCCUAAAUAAGUUGGGCCGAUUGAAACACUUUAUUUACACACUGUGAUGCCACUGUCCUCGCAGCAGCUAACUAUAACUAGUUAAUUGUCUACAAUCUGCACGCAGCGUGCGUCUUCAAUGCUUUUCAAUAUGUUACAUAUAUUUAGUUCCUUCACAAUGAGCAUGAAUCUAAGAUUAAAUGAUAUGAUUAAUAGAGAUGAGCGAGUACAGCAUUAUCUGUAUCUGUAUCUGUAUCUGUUGAACCAUAUGAAUUAUCUGUAUCCGUAUCCGUACUCGGACUGGGUGGGGCCUAACCCGGAAGUAGGAAGGAUUUACGCCGUAAAUUGUCGGGUUAAGCCUUUCUGCGGUUAAAACAGCAUUCCUUCUUAAUUCUUAUCACUGCUGAUCAUGAGAGAGAGAGGAAGUGUGUGUGUGGCUUAAUUUGUAAUAUCAAUAUUUAGUUAUUCAACACAACUAGUCAACGUCAGACACUGAGUGCGUGAAGAGAGCCAGCAGACGGUAAAAAAAACUGAUGAGAGAGAGAGGGGGAGAGAGACAGAGAGGGAGAGAGACAGAGACAGAGGGAGAGAGAGGUCAGUGCGUGAAGUAAAAGAAAAAAAACUGGUUAGAGCCGACUGAAGAAAAAAAACUCUGACAGGCAGAGACGCAACGCGAGUCGCAUUCUUAAGCACCACGUCUCAACAAGCCCCACGUUUACCUGAACUCUACUAGUUAAGAACAACAAACCAAAGUAAAAAAAAAUAAGGGCGAAGAAAUCGUUUAAAUUUAUCGGGAAAGACCCGCGAACCUGGUGACUGAGGAAGGGAGAGAGGAGUUAUGUGUAUGUGUGAGCCGAGCGGGACACAGGGACACAAACAGUGUGUGUGUAGGGGAGGGGCGCUGUGACUACCAGCCAAUCACAGAACGCAGACACAGACAGCUACCCAAUGAGGACUUUUAUUCAAUCCGAGCACAGAUAUUGACUCGUAUUACUCGUAUAAUACUCGUACUCGGCAAAAGUGCUUUAUCCGUAACAGAUACUCGUUUCAGCCGAGUAUCCGGCUCAUCUCUAAUGAUUAAUAUGCCCCAAAUUCCAAUGAAAUAAUAUCUACACGUCAAGCUCUUUAUAGAGGGGAAACAACAAAUUACUAAACUGUAGAGAUGAGCGAGUACAGCAUUAUCUGUAUGUGUUGAACCAUAUGAAUUAUCUGUAUCCGUAUCCGUACUCGAACUGGGCGGGGCCUAACCCGAAAACGGGCGGGGCCUAACCCGGAAGAAGGAAGGAUUUACCCCGUAAAUUGUCGGGUUAAGCCUUUCUGCGGUUAAAACAGCAUUCCUUCUAAAUUCUUAUCACUGAUGAUCAUGAGAGAGAGGGGAAGUGUGUGUGUGGCUUAAUUUGUAAUAUUCAUAUUUAGUUAUUCAACACAACUAGUCAACGUCAGACACUGAGUGCGUGAAGAGAGCCAGCAGACGGUAAAAAAAACUGAUGAGAGGGAGAGAGAGACAGAGAGAGAGGUCAGUGCGUGAAGUAAAAAAAACAAACUGGCAGAGACGCAAUGCGAGUCGCAUUCUUAAGCACCACGUCUUAACAAGCCCCACGUUUACCUGAACUCUACUAGUUAAGAACAACAAACCGAAGUAAAAACAAAGUAAAGGCGAAGAAAUCGUUUAAAUUUAUCGGGAAAGACCCGCGAACCUGGUGACUGAGGUAGGGAGAGAGGAGUUCUGUGAGUGAGUGAGCCGAGCGGGACACAGCAACACAAACAGUAUGUGUGUAGUGGAGGGGCGCUGUGACUACCAGCCAAUCACAGAACGCAGACACAGACAGCUACCCAAUGAGGACUUUAAUUCAAUCCGAGCACAGAUAUUGACUCGUAUUACUCGUAUAAUACUCGUACUCGGCAAAAGUGCUUUAUCCGUACCGGAUACUCGUUUCAGCCGAGUAUCCGGCUCAUCUCUACUAAACUGUAAACAGUUAAUAUAAGAGCAAAAAAUAUUUUAAUCAAGAUAAAUGUUUUUCAAAAUAUGUGAUUAACUAGUUAAUUGUCUAUAAUCUGUUGACAGCCCUAAUCAUAUUCUGAUAAUACACGUUGGUGCUCAAAUACUUUCAGAUGCCCCGUCCAAAGUCAUGGCACCAGUCUGAGGCCAUCAAUGGGAAUGGCACAUGGGACACGUGGCUUUCAACUCCAGUGAGCACACGGCACAGGUGUGCGUCACCGCGGGCAAUCAUGGCAAAGACCCAAGUCGACUCGACCACAGCGGAAAAUGAUCCUUCCAGAGAAGAAGUAGUUAUUUACUUCUACAAUGAAUGGUUACAACUUCCAGAUGACAGCUCUCCGCUCAUCCUUCUGGGCAACUUGAACAUCCGACAGAACUUAUGUGACCUACUGCGUUUAUUUUCUUCUUUAGCUCUCAUUUUAGUAUUAAUAUUCCGAACUUGCGACCCGCUGCCGACUGGCUGCACUGUCCAGACCAGUCGGAGUGCGUACCGCCAGCGGAGUGCGUACUGCCAGCACCCCCUCUCCCUCCCCCAGUCAGCUGUUCGCAUUGAUCGUAUGUGCCCCGCAGCAGAAUCUGGCCCGAACCUGAAAUGAGUUUGACACCCCUUCUCUAAAGUGUAAAAAUUUUAGGAAAGGACAGUUAUCUGGGUCCAUUUGUGUGUUGUAUCAGCCAGACACGCAUUUAAAAAGAAAACGGUGGGCAAAAAUGUCCCCAGAGGGAGCACUUAAGGAGGCGCUAGAGAGUACUUUUUUAUUUCCCCUAAUUGCGGGACCACAAGAAUAUCUUAAUUUUUCGCACUUCUGAAGCGCUUGCAAAAAUUCAAGACUUUUUGAAAUAUGGUAAGGGCCCCAAAAGUGCGAUUGAAGUGGUGAAAUAAUAAGAGGAAUUCUUCGAAACACAAUAGGUCUUCGCCCGACUUUCAGUCGGCUCAGGCCCUAACAAGACAGAGACCCAAACCGUGACACUGGCAUUGACAAUUAACAGUGGUUACCUCCAGAUUAUGGUUGUAUGUAUACCCUAUAGAGCAGUGGUUCUCAACUGGUCUGGCUUCGGGACCCACCAUCACCCCUUAAUGACAAGCCGCGACCCAAAUCGAGGAACAUUCUCAACUUCUAAAAUGUAUUCAAAAUCAAGUUCAUAAGCUGAAUUUCAUAUUUUAUAUUCAGGAUGUUUAAUUAUCCUAAAAACCCAAUGUCUUCCCCAUAUCAGAAUGGUUUGACCCAACCUGGCACACCCUGCUGAAAACAUGGACGGACGGCAAAAAAACCCACACUUGUGAUUUUUUUUUUUUUUUAAUUCAAAUUUUUAUUUUCCCAUGCAGAGGCCCGCGACCCAUUAAAAACGGGUCCGCACCAGUUGAGGAUCACUCCUAUAGUGAUUGAAUACGAAUAGAAAAAAGCGCUUGCAUGCACACUGGAGGUAGAGAGAGACAGCACUGCAGAGUUAUGCAAGACCUCCUGCUGAGUGUCUACAUAAUUAACGUACCAGAGCCCUAAAAAAUACACUGUGUUCAGAUUUAAAGACACACUGGUGUCAUUUGCAGAACUGCAGUUAACAAUUGCCGUAGUAAACAACAAAAUGAGCUCAGUCCAAGCUCAGGACUUCUGAGGGAUUCAAAAUUCAACAAGAUUGUCUCGUUUCUGGAUUGAUGCCAGUCUGAGCAAUGUUUGCCAAAACACAACCAAUACACAAUCUUAAGAUACAACAUUUUAUUAUUGUCAGUCUUAAAUAUGACCACACACUUUUCGUCAAGAAAAUACAUAGAAACCAACAAUCCUUUACAAUGCAAAGAGUCAAAUAACUUUGGGACCCCCUUCACUUGGAAACAUUCCAAAUUUGAAGGGAGCCCUGUGAACUUGUAACCAAAUCCUCUAUUGGUGAAUCAUUCAAAAUAAACCCCAACAGAUCAUGAGACUACCCCAUUUGUCUGCCAUGAUAGUCCCACGAUAGCUGAAUUAAAGGUAGGAUUUGUGCAACCAAAGUUCACAUCCAAAAAUGAUCUCUUCUAAGUGCAAGUGUCACAAAACACCUGAAAUGAAAAGUACUAUCUGAUAGUUGCAAUACAAGUCCGCUUUCUUAACUGGUAUCAAAUAUUCUUAAGAGAGAAUAGGAUCUUGCCUUGGCCAUAUGGAGACAAAAAAAGCUAGACCCAUGGCCUCCUUCGAUCUCAGUGCAAUCCUGUUUUCGAACAGAAAUUGGAAUUGGUCAAAUCGGCAUAAGUUUGCUGCGCUACUGCCAAAAUAUCAGCCUUCUUCUUGGUGCAGUUUCCUUGCUGGGUUGUGGGGUUGGAUCAGGAAUGUCCAAAAUCCUCUACCUCUACAAUCAAUAUAAGUCUGGUUUGAACAGGACUUGCAGUGUGUAUAUUUUUUCAAUGCUUAAUGGGAGAUGCUUCCAUAUAAAGGAAGCACAGACUUUGUGUUUGCCAUGGAGAAAGAAACUGCAGUACACUUGUUGACAAAGAGAGAGAUGGUAGAGUGUUCCCAAUCAUGACAGUUCAAUGUCAACAGCUGCUGUGUUUUGUUUAAUCCUUUAAUGCAGCUAGAAAAAUCAAUGUUUUAGUUUUAACUUCAUUUAACUGUUUUUUCAUCGACAGGGUGCAUCGCACUGGGUGUGACUUCUAGAGUAGAGGAGGAGUCCUGCUAACGGGACAACAGGGAUGAGAGCUUUCUUACAGCAACCAAGAGCUUUAGAGUUUUCUCAACUAUAUGAGCCAUGACAUUGAAAAUGGCUGUGACACGCAACACAAAACAUCCCGCUGUCUCACAAACUGAAAUGUGAUUGUGUUUGUUGAACUCCUCUGCAAUCCUGUCUCAUCUAUCCUUGAGGCUGCCUUGCCCAUAAUGCAGAGAGGAAACUGGUGCCAAGUAGUGCAAAAGGCCUCAGGUCAUAAAGUAAUCCAAAUGAAGCCUUUAAAGAGACAGCCUUUAAAGAGACAGUCUGCAUAGGUUUUCUCUACAUGCCUUCUGUUGUAAUAUGUUUGGCACAGCAGGAAUUUGAGAACAAGAAAAUUAAGAUCGUACCUUUCUGUUAGCUGCAUGUGGGCAAGGCCAAAAGUUUAGAAAUAUGAUCUAGCAGAAUACCCAGUCAGGAUGUGACAGUGCUAACUUUUUUCCAUCUCCUUUGAUAAAGGGAGGAUACCCCAUCCUCAGAUCAGAGAUCAGACUGCUCUCGAUGUGGCUUCCUCAGCUCAGUGCUUCACUGUGACCGCAUAUCUCAUCAAACCCUCAUCAACAACGCCUAUUUGACAUUGAUAACAUGCCAUAGUAACAAGAUGGAAUUGCUAUUAUUAGGUGGAUUCUUAGGUGAAGCCAAAUAGGAAUCUCAUUACCACUGGUUGUGAAGAAAACACCCUCAUUAUUUUUCAUUUAAUCUGGAAAUAUAUUUUGUCGGCAGCCCUCCUGGGUUAUAUUUGCUCUAAAGGUGUACGCUGACAAGGGUUUGUUCUCAGUGAUAGUGUGCUUUUCUCGAACUUAAACUAUAUUUGAUAUGACAUGAAAUAAACAACAUGUUACUUAUUAUUGAGAACAAAGCAAUGGAAUACAGCUGUCAGCCAAGUACUCUGAGACUCCUGGAGAAACUCACAGUGGUCUAGCAUUAGUGUGAACAGUACAGCCUACAUUAAUGCACACCCAGGACCAUAUGUAAAUAUUACUUUAUGGUGCUGAUUGCUGCGAUGAUAAAUAAUUAAGCAACUUCCUGCACAAUUGCUCAGAGGUAGUAAAAAGAAAAAGGUUGUGUGCUUGCCUGUGCUAUAAAAUAAACAAGAGUCUGUAUUACAUCAGUAAAAUAUGUGUUUAUGAACAGAUGUUUCGAGGCAAAUAAUAAAGCAUGGUGUACAGCACAUUUCCAAUCUCAAUGCAGUGAGGCUGUGAUUGUUAAUGCAUAUUGUGGCAUUAUAGACAAGGGCUCAGUGGUGCCAUGCUUUCUAGCCAGAAGGAAUAAUUACCAUGUAAUUAUCAAACAUUACUGUGCUAGAGAUGAAUAAUAGUCUCUCUAUCUCAUUGUAUUGUGUGUGACAACAAAGUGUGAUUAGCCCGUCAGAUUCAGCUACUGAUUACUUAGAUCAAUUUCAAUAAUGCUGUUUCACAAACCGUGUUGUCUCUAAAAAGUCAAAAUGAUGCUAGAGGAGUUAAAAAUAUAUCUUGAAGUGGGAACACAUGAAGAAGGACUACAACAUCACCAGAGCUGUGUUAAGCCAGGGGAAAAACAAAAGGGGAGCUGAGGGAUAAUAAGAAGCGCGCCAUUUCCCCGCCACAAGCUAAUUUGAUGGCAUUUGCUAUCCCCGCUUGAUGUUGUGUUAAUGGAAUUCUGCAAAUCCUAUGGGCCUGCACAGUUAAAUGACGUGCAGUGCAGCCAGAAGAUGGUUGUGUUUGUAAGUUCACAAUUACAACCGGCAAUGCAUUUUGCAAUAGAGGCAUGAUGUUUAAAACCUGAGUGUGGCAGUUGGUGUGAAUAGUUUGCCCACCCAACAGACCAUAAAAAGACAAAACACCUUCUUGGAAUUCUUACUGGUGUUGUGUUAGAGGUUUGUUAUUGUUGCAUAAAAUCCUUACGCUCACAAAUGAAAUAUGGUAACAGAGUUUCCUGCUCGUCAAAAUGCUACUGAAAUGCUGUGUGCUCUGAUUCUCCUCCAUAAGACACACAAAAGAUUUCUUUGUUUUGUUGUCUGACCAGCCACAAGUUAGGAAAUAAGAACAAAUGUAGUGUUUUUUUUGUUACCCGGACCUCUCAUCACGUUUCAUCACGGUUAUUGGAAUUAGCUUGCAUUCUCUGCAGUAAGCCUGCAAUUAAUUUUUUUUUAAUAAAAGCUGGGAACA
Long non-coding RNA from Pungitius pungitius (ninespine stickleback), 10710 nucleotides. RefSeq lists it as uncharacterized. Lineage: Eukaryota; Metazoa; Chordata; Actinopteri; Perciformes; Gasterosteidae. The transcript has 2 exons. The record is from RefSeq and is a predicted model, not a curated record.